Molecule: ribosomal RNA, 895 nt
Filed under: uncultured bacterium
Lineage: Bacteria
Description: bacterial SSU rRNA
Rfam family: Bacterial small subunit ribosomal RNA
Source: RNAcentral
GUUACACGGCGGCGGCCUACACAUGCAAGUCGAGCGGAAACGAGUUAACUGAACCUUCGGGGAACGUUAACGGCGUCGAGCGGCGGACGGGUGAGUAAUGCCUGGGAAAUUGCCCUGAUGUGGGGGAUAACCAUUGGAAACGAUGGCUAAUACCGCAUAAUAGCCCGGUUCUUCGGAAUGGGUCUCAAAGAGGGGGACCUUUUAGGCCUCUCGCGUCAGGAUAUGCCCAGGUGGGAUUAGCUAGUUGGUGAGGUAAUGGCUCACCAAGGCGACGAUCCCUAGCUGGUCUGAGAGGAUGAUCAGCCACACUGGAACUGAGACACGGUCCAGACUCCUACGGGAGGCAGCAGUGGGGAAUAUUGCACAAUGGGCGCAAGCCUGAUGCAGCCAUGCCGCGUGUAUGAAGAAGGCCUUCGGGUUGUAAAGUACUUUCAGCAGUGAGGAAGGUGGGUAUGUUAAUAGCAUACACAUUUGACGUUAGCUGCAGAAGAAGCACCGGCUAACUCCGUGCCAGCAGCCGCGGUAAUACGGAGGGUGCGAGCGUUAAUCGGAAUUACUGGGCGUAAAGCGCAUGCAGGUGGUUUGUUAAGUCAGAUGUGAAAGCCCGGGGCUCAACCUCGGAAUUGCAUUUGAAACUGGCAAACUAGAGUACUGUAGAGGGGGGUAGAAUUUCAGGUGUAGCGGUGAAAUGCGUAGAGAUCUGAAGGAAUACCGGUGGCGAAGGCGGCCCCCUGGACAGAUACUGACACUCAGAUGCGAAAGCGUGGGGAGCAAACAGGAUUAGAUACCCUGGUAGUCCACGCCGUAAACGAUGUCUACUUGGAGGUUGUGGCCAUUGAGCCGUGGCCUUCCGGAGCUAACGCGUUUAGUUAGACCGCCCUGGUGAGUACGGGUC